Rattus norvegicus (Norway rat) is the source of this 117-nucleotide non-coding RNA. NCBI's taxonomy places the organism in Eukaryota, Metazoa, Chordata, Mammalia, Rodentia, Muridae. The record is from Rfam.
UCCAAGAGUGGUAACGCCCUGAAUGUGCCUGAUCUCAUCUGAUCACAGAAGCUAAGCAGGGUCAGGUCUGUUUAGUACUUGGAUGGGACACAUACAAAUUAAUAAGUGCAAUUUUAA